This 497-nucleotide ribosomal RNA is filed under the name uncultured bacterium. Its description in RNAcentral is "partial 16S ribosomal RNA". It matches the Rfam family "Bacterial small subunit ribosomal RNA", at positions 28 to 507 of the family's 1533-position model. The record is from RNAcentral.
GAUGAACGCUGGCGGCGUGCCUAAUACAUGCAAGUCGAGCGAACAGACGGGGAGCUUGCUCCUCUGAUGUUAGCGGCGGACGGGUGAGUAACACGUGGAUAACCUACCUAUAAGACUGGGAUAACUUCGGGAAACCGGAGCUAAUACCGGAUAACAUGUUGAACCGCAUGGUUCAACAGUGAAAGACGGUCUUGCUGUCACUUAUAGAUGGAUCCGCGCCGCAUUAGCUAGUUGGUAAGGUAACGGCUUACCAAGGCAACGAUGCGUAGCCGACCUGAGAGAGUGAUCGGCCACACGGGAACGGAGACACGGUCCAGACGCCUACGGGAGGCAGCAGUAGGGAAUCGUCCGCAAUGGGCGAAAGCCUGACGGAGCAACGCCGCGUGAGUGAAGAAGGUCUUCGGAUCGUAAAACUCGGUUAUUAGGGAAGAGCAAAUGUGGAAGUAACUAUGCACGUCGUGACGGUACCUAAUCAGAAAGCCACGGCUAACUACGUG